RNAcentral lists this ribosomal RNA (492 nucleotides) under uncultured bacterium. RNAcentral's name for it is "partial 16S ribosomal RNA". It matches the Rfam family "Bacterial small subunit ribosomal RNA", at positions 29 to 507 of the family's 1533-position model. The record is from RNAcentral.
AGCGAACGCUGGCGGUAGGCCUAACACAUGCAAGUCGAACGGCAGCACAGUAAGAGCUUGCGCUUACGGGUGGCGAGUGGCGGACGGGUGAGGAAUACAUCGGAAUCUACUUUUUCGCGGGGGCUAACGUAGGGAAACUUACGCUAAUACCGCAUACGACCUACGGGUGAAAGCAGGGGAUCUUCGGACCUUGCGCGAUUGAAUGAGCCGAUGUCGGAUUCGCUAGUUGGCGGGGUAAAGGCGCACCAAGGCGACGAUCCGUAGCUGGUCUGAGAGGAUGAUCAGCCACACUGGCACUGAGACACGGCCCAGACUCCUACGGGAGGCAGCAGUGGGGAAUAUUGGAGGAUGGGCGCAAGCCUGAUCCAGCCAUACCGCGUGGGUGAAGACGGCCUUCUGCUUGGAGAACCCUUUUGUUGGGAAAGAAAAGCAGCAGUUUAAUACCCCGCGGUUCUGACGGUACCCAAAGAAUAAGCACCGGCUAACUUCGUG